RNAcentral lists this ribosomal RNA (753 nucleotides) under Maconellicoccus hirsutus (hibiscus mealybug). RNAcentral's name for it is "partial 28S ribosomal RNA". It matches the Rfam family "Eukaryotic large subunit ribosomal RNA", at positions 378 to 904 of the family's 3401-position model. The record is from RNAcentral. Lineage: Eukaryota; Metazoa; Arthropoda; Insecta; Hemiptera; Pseudococcidae.
GAAGAGAGAGUUCAACAGUACGUGAAACCGUUCGGGGGUAAACGGACAGAGCCCGUGAAUCCGGGCGACAGAAUUCAAAAUCGACGAUUCGCGUCGUCGGUUUGAUAUUUCUGUCGCCGUUUGUAACUAUACGGACGUCGCGACCCGUUUGGUGUCGGUCUUAGGAGGCGCGCUAAAGUUCGUUGACGCGUUGUCGAAGCCGUUUCGGCGGUCUAGACGCGCGUCUCGAGUACGCGUUCUUUAUUUCUGGCUGACUCGCCAGACGGUAAGCGUAACGGUGUCUGCGGCGGCCAUUCUUCACGGAUGUAGCGUCGUCCGUCAGUACCGGUCUGCGACGAAUCUUCGGGCCUCUUUCCGACCCGUCUUGAAACACGGACCAAGGAGUCUAACGUGCGCGCGAGUCGCGGGGUGUCGAGCAGUCGGCUUUCGGGCCGUCUGCUCGUUACAAUACGAAACCCGUCUCGUUUGACGAAAGGCGCAAUGAAAGUAAAGCGGGGAAGAUGGCGUUACCGAGUACACGUUUCGCGCUCGCUUGUAGCGCGACCGGUCGCCCGCAUUCCCAGGGCGUCCCAACGGCCCGGCGGCGUUGCGGAUCGUCGUCUCUUCGGGGGCGGCGGUCGGGCGUCGUCGAACCGGGGCGCACCUAUAGCGUGCACGUUGGUACCCGAAAGAUGGUGAACUAUGCCCGGCCAGGAUGAAGUCAGGGGAAACCCUGAUGGAGGUCCGCAGCGAUUCUGACGUGCAAAUCGAUCG